GCGCCAAUCCUAUUGGUGCAAAAAUCCGCUUGCGCCGGAGAAGCUGGAGUCGAGGGAGUCGCGGUCGCCGUCGGGACCUGCAAAAGAAGUCUAAACCGGAGGUGGGGUUGCUCCGGCAAGACCCUCCGAUGCUCAAGUCAGUUCUCUGCCUCAAUAAAAAUGGAGUGCUCGAACGAAAAUUUUAGCAAAGUUUUUAGGUAAAAAAUGAGAGCUUAAAGAAUAAUGUAUCUGGGGCCCCCUUUUAUAGGCGAAAAGGGGGCAGCA
Molecule: long non-coding RNA, 264 nt
Filed under: Elaeis guineensis (African oil palm)
Lineage: Eukaryota; Viridiplantae; Streptophyta; Magnoliopsida; Arecales; Arecaceae
Description: long non-coding RNA (EGUI_LNC079725)
Source: RNAcentral